Long non-coding RNA from Balaenoptera acutorostrata (minke whale), 812 nucleotides. RefSeq lists it as uncharacterized. Lineage: Eukaryota; Metazoa; Chordata; Mammalia; Artiodactyla; Balaenopteridae. The transcript is spliced from 3 exons. The record is from RefSeq and is a predicted model, not a curated record.
CGGGAGCAGGGGCUCAGGCAGGCCCGGUUUUCCAGAGCGUCCUAAUGACCCAGAUGUGCAGCUGCGGAGAUGGCUGCUUGGGGAACUGCAAAUCAUCAGGCCCCUGGCGGCCCCUCCCUUGGACAGGUUUAACACUCAGAAUGUCCUGGAGAGGGAGAGACCCAUGCUGUCCCCGUGGGUCAGAUUGACUCAUUCAUUCACCAACAUCUACUGAGCACCUUCUCUGGGCUGGCCUGUGCCGGGUGCUGGGGAGAUCAAGACAGGAAAGUGCCUGCCCCACGUGGACAAAGACGUUCUUGGACCUGCGAGCGUGCAAGUAAGGAAGAGAGAAAUCAGCAGGGUAGGGGUUGGGAGAGGGCAGUCAUGAGGGCCUCUCCCAGGAGAUGACAUGAACCUAAAACCCAAGUGGUGAGGAACCACCAAAACUCCGAGGUGUGUUCCCCAAGAGGGAAACUGAGGCAGCAAGACUGGCAGCGGCACGACAAGAUUCAAACCCAGGCCAGCGGACACCAAUCCCAGCAGGCUGUAACGGGGAUGGCAGCUGCCUCCAGAGGCUGUUGUAUGAGGGGUCAGAAGUAACGCUGCCAGCUGUUGGUACCACGCCCGGCAACAGGGACUCUCCAGCAGGCCUUGGCCCGCGGCCCCCUCUGUCUCUGCAGCUGCCUCAUUCCCUCUGCGUCUCCCGCCCUGGACGGCAAGUCAUCCGGAGCAGGGCCUGUCUGACCCGUGCACAGUGCCCCAGGUGCCUGGCCCACACCAGCUCCCACUAAGUGCUAUGGCUGAAGAAGCUGAGUAAAUGGUGACUUCUGGAG